Molecule: ribosomal RNA, 181 nt
Filed under: Salmonella enterica subsp. enterica serovar Kentucky
Lineage: Bacteria; Pseudomonadati; Pseudomonadota; Gammaproteobacteria; Enterobacterales; Enterobacteriaceae
Description: partial 16S ribosomal RNA
Rfam family: Bacterial small subunit ribosomal RNA
Source: RNAcentral
AAUACGUUCCCGGGCCUUGUACACACCGCCCGUCACACCAUGGGAGUGGGUUGCAAAAGAAGUAGGUAGCUUAACCUUCGGGAGGGCGCUUACCACUUUGUGAUUCAUGACUGGGGUGAAGUCGUAACAAGGUAACCGUAGGGGAACCUGCGGUUGGAUCACCUCCUUACCUUAAAGAAGC